This 504-nucleotide ribosomal RNA is filed under the name Shouchella rhizosphaerae. RNAcentral describes it as "partial 23S ribosomal RNA". It matches the Rfam family "Bacterial large subunit ribosomal RNA", at positions 696 to 1199 of the family's 2925-position model. The record is from RNAcentral. Lineage: Bacteria; Bacillati; Bacillota; Bacilli; Caryophanales; Bacillaceae.
UUAGUACGAUGCCGUAGACCCGAAACCGGGUGAUCUACCCAUGUCCAGGGUGAAGGUCGGGUAACACCGACUGGAGGCCCGAACCCACGCAAGUUGAAAAUUGCGGGGAUGAGGUGUGGGUAGGGGUGAAAUGCCAAUCGAACUCGGAAAUAGCUGGUUCUCCCCGAAAUAGCUUUAGGGCUAGCCUCGAGUGAUGAGUCUUGGAGGUAGAGCACUGAUUGGACGAGGGGUCCCCACAGGAUUACCGAAUUCAGUCAAACUCCGAAUGCCAAUGACUUUAACUCGGGAGUCAGACUGCGAGUGCUAAGAUCCGUAGUCAAGAGGGAAACAGCCCAGACCAUCAGCUAAGGUCCCCAAGUAUACGUUAAGUGGAAAAGGAUGUGGAGUUGCCCAGACAACCAGGAUGUUGGCUUAGAAGCAGCCAUCAUUGAAAGAGUGCGUAAUAGCUCACUGGUCGAGUGACUCUGCGCCGAAAAUGUACCGGGGCUAAACGUAUCACCGAAG